CGAUCCGGCCAUAGCGGUUGGGAAACACCCGGACCCAUAUCGAACCCGGAAGUUAAGCCGGCCGCGUUGGGCGUGCUGUGGGGUCCGCAAGGACCUGCAGCGCGCCCAAGCUGGAUCGG
RNAcentral lists this ribosomal RNA (119 nucleotides) under Acidilobales archaeon. The record is from RNAcentral. Lineage: Archaea; Thermoproteati; Thermoproteota; Thermoprotei; Acidilobales.